UACAGAGGUCCCAAGCGUUGUUCGGAUUCACUGGGCGUAAAGGGUGCGUAGGCGGUCGGGUAAGUCUGAUGUGAAAUCUCACAGCUUAACUGUGAAACUGCAUUGGAUACUAUUCGGCUAGAGAGUUGGAGGGGGGACUGGAAUUCUUGGUGUAGCAGUGAAAUGCGUAGAUAUCAAGUGGAACACCAGUGGCGAAGGCGAGUCCCUGGACAACUCCUGACACUGAGGCACGAAAGCUAGGGGAGCAAACAGG
RNAcentral lists this ribosomal RNA (253 nucleotides) under uncultured bacterium. Its description in RNAcentral is "partial 16S ribosomal RNA". It matches the Rfam family "Bacterial small subunit ribosomal RNA", at positions 524 to 776 of the family's 1533-position model. The record is from RNAcentral.